RNAcentral lists this small RNA (913 nucleotides) under Pongo abelii (Sumatran orangutan). RNAcentral describes it as "retained intron". Lineage: Eukaryota; Metazoa; Chordata; Mammalia; Primates; Hominidae. The record is from RNAcentral.
GUAGUUCCGGUUCCGGCGUGGCCAUUUUCGUUGCUGGUGUUCAGUUGUGGCGGUUGCUGGUCAGUAACAGCCAAGAUGCUGCGGAAUCUGCUGGCUCUUCGUCAGAUUGGGCAGAGGACCAUAAGCACUGCUUCCCGCAGGCAUUUUAAAAAUAAAGUUCCAGAGAAACAAAAACUGUUCCAGGUACUGAAGUAUUUUAUAGGAGAUUGUUACUUGUAAUAAUUAGAUUACCAAAGGGUAGAGUUGGGAUAAACAAGUAUGUGUAUAAAUUAGAUCAUAUGACAAUAUAAACAUUACAAAAGAAGUCAAGGACAUGUACCAUACUGCUAAUAGUGGUUGUCUCUUGGGGAAAGACCUGGUGGAGCAGAGCAAUUUACCUUUAUAAGUAGUUUGAUUAUGAGUGAUUUUUGUUUUAUUAUGGUUUCUAGCUUUUCCUAAAUAAAACUUAAAGUGAUUAAAAAUAGUUGUAUCAUAUAUACAUAAAAAUAAAAUACUUUAUUGAACAGAUGUACUAAAUAGCUACUGUACGCCGGAUUAGAUGCUAGGGAUAUAAUUUAGGUUAUAAACCAAAAUCCCUUCCCCACUUUUUUAAGGGAAAAAAAGUUUCCUAUGACUAAGUCUAAUGUGUGGCAAUUAUUGGUUCUUUUAUAUGUAAGUUAUAUUAAAGUUGUUGAGAUCAGUGUGUAUGUUUUAUAGCUUUAAUGUUUAUAUAUUCUUUGGAAAGACCAUCAUUAAUGGAUCUCAAAUUAACGGUGAAAGAAAAAUGCUGACUUUUAGGAAUUCUUAUUUUAAAAGUAGUAGGAGUAGAGACAGAAUAAAGAAAAUUGUAGGUCUUUUAAAGUUUAAUACUUAAAAUACUUUAAUUCUAGGGAUUUAAGGAGCUAUAUCAUUUUAUAUGCCUGUUCUUUUGAAA